GCCAUCCUAGCUCAACGGUAGAGCAAACGCUUCGUAAGCGUUAGGUUAUGGGUUCGAAUCCCAUGGAUGGCU
Molecule: transfer RNA, 72 nt
Filed under: Chloroflexota bacterium
Lineage: Bacteria; Bacillati; Chloroflexota
Description: Chloroflexi bacterium tRNA-Thr
Rfam family: tRNA
About the family: Transfer RNA (tRNA) molecules are approximately 80 nucleotides in length. Their secondary structure includes four short double-helical elements and three loops (D, anti-codon, and T loops). Further hydrogen bonds mediate the characteristic L-shaped molecular structure. tRNAs have two regions of fundamental functional importance: the anti-codon, which is responsible for specific mRNA codon recognition, and the 3' end, to which the tRNAs corresponding amino acid is attached (by aminoacyl-tRNA synthetases). tRNAs cope with the degeneracy of the genetic code in two manners: having more than one tRNA (with a specific anti-codon) for a particular amino acid; and 'wobble' base-pairing, i.e. permitting non-standard base-pairing at the 3rd anti-codon position.
Source: RNAcentral